GGAGACGUAUCGAAGUGGUCAUAACGAGCCGCACUCGAAAUGCGGUUGUCCUCACGGGCACGUGGGUUCGAAUCCCACCGUCUCCG
This 86-nucleotide transfer RNA is filed under the name Eubacterium sp. RNAcentral describes it as "tRNA-Ser". It matches the Rfam family "tRNA". Rfam says of the family: Transfer RNA (tRNA) molecules are approximately 80 nucleotides in length. Their secondary structure includes four short double-helical elements and three loops (D, anti-codon, and T loops). Lineage: Bacteria; Bacillati; Bacillota; Clostridia; Eubacteriales; Eubacteriaceae. The record is from RNAcentral.